RNAcentral lists this ribosomal RNA (468 nucleotides) under Paracrinia haswelli (Haswell's frog). RNAcentral's name for it is "partial 12S ribosomal RNA". It matches the Rfam family "Bacterial small subunit ribosomal RNA", at positions 11 to 828 of the family's 1533-position model. Lineage: Eukaryota; Metazoa; Chordata; Amphibia; Anura; Myobatrachidae. The record is from RNAcentral.
GUUUGGUCCUAGCCUUUCUAUCAAGUGCCACUCUACUUACACAUGCAAGCCUCCACACCCCGGUGAGAACGCCCUUUUAUUCUUAUGAACCUAGGAGCUGGUAUCAGGCACAAAAAUUAGCCCAAAACACCUAGCCUCGCCACACCCACAACGGGAAUUCAGCAGUGAUCAACAUUAAAAAUUAGCGCCAGCUAGACUUAGUUAGAGUACCCAGGGCCGGCAAACCUGGUGCCAGCCGCCGCGGCUACACCACGGGGCCCAACUUGAUAGGCACCGGCGUAAAGCGUGAUUAAAGCAUCCCCACCCCCGAGUUAAAUUGUAAUUGAGCUGUGACAAGCCUGUUACCUAGAAACCCCAAAACGAAAGUUACUCCACCCACUCAACUUGAAUUCACGACAGCUGGGACACAAACUGGGAUUAGAUACCCCACUAUGCCCAGCCGUAAACCUUUUACUUACAAUUAAUACC